UAAAGCGCAUGCAGGCGGCCUGUUAAGUCAGAUGUGAAAGCCCCGGGGCUUAACCUCGGAAUUGCAUUUGAAACUGGCAGGCUAGAGUCUUGUAGAGGGGGUAGAAUUUCAGGUGUAGCGGUGAAAUGCGUAGAGAUCUGAAGGAAUACCAGUGGCGAAGGCGGCCCCCUGGACAAAGACUGACGCUCAGAUGCGAAAGCGUGGGGAGCAAACAGGAUUAGAUACCCUGGUAG
RNAcentral lists this ribosomal RNA (233 nucleotides) under uncultured bacterium. Its description in RNAcentral is "partial 16S ribosomal RNA". It matches the Rfam family "Bacterial small subunit ribosomal RNA", at positions 561 to 793 of the family's 1533-position model. The record is from RNAcentral.